This 791-nucleotide long non-coding RNA is filed under the name Prunus dulcis (almond). RNAcentral's name for it is "sRNA ncRNA". The record is from RNAcentral. Lineage: Eukaryota; Viridiplantae; Streptophyta; Magnoliopsida; Rosales; Rosaceae.
GUCUCCAACAACAUCCGAUAAAAUUGGAACGAUAUAAAACCAGAAUUCCCCUACAUUUUCCAAAACUCAAAUGCCCCAUUUCAUUUCACAAAAUUCUCCCCAGAUCUCUCAGAGAGGAGCCUUUUGAUUUUUUGGGUCUCAAAGCAAGUAAAAAUGUGCAGGUUGUGCGUGUGCUGCAUGUGCAUAUUAGUAAUCUUGCUAUUCAUCGGUGUGUUAUUUGCGGUCGGCCCUUUGACGAAGCUGAGGCAUCACUUCAUCAUCAAGCAAUCUGUGCAUCAUUUCUGCGAUCCAAAUGUUCAUGGCUUUUUAUGUAGGCGUAGUGGAAUGACUAGAAAACCCUUAUUGGGUUACACUGCACCUCCACCUUAAUUUCUAGCUUAAUUAGGGUUUUGUUUCUUUAUUCUCUGACGCAUUAUGUAAUGAAUCUGUCUCAUCUUUCUUUGUUAUUAUUUGAAUUUUAGUUCUUAGGUUUUAAUUUUUUAUAUAUGUUAAUCUGGGUUUUUGGGUUACAAUUUACAUUGGUUAUAGAUGUAAGGAUUGUUCUUAGAAUUUAUAUCCUCUUCGAUUUAUGUUUAUUUUUGUUUUUUCUUUUAAGUCACAUAUAUGGACGACAAUUCUCCUCUCGUAUUCGUGAGGCUUCGCACCUAAUGAGUAUGGUAGGAAGAAUAAAAAUUCGGUAUGGGGACUAGUUUGGGAAAACUUUUAGGUAUGGUAUUUGGGACGGACCGGAAAUGGUAUCAUUGUUAUCAAGUAAUACUAUUAUUGUUAAGAGUAUAUAUGGUAAAUGUAAA